Molecule: ribosomal RNA, 628 nt
Filed under: Hanseniaspora uvarum
Lineage: Eukaryota; Fungi; Ascomycota; Saccharomycetes; Saccharomycodales; Saccharomycodaceae
Description: eukaryotic LSU rRNA
Rfam family: Eukaryotic large subunit ribosomal RNA
Source: RNAcentral
UGCUUGCCAUUAUCCAAAAAGCGGAGGAAAAGAAACCAACUGGGAUUACCUUAGUAACGGCGAGUGAAGCGGUAAAAGCUCAAAUUUGAAAUCUGGUACUUUCAGUGCCCGAGUUGUAAUUUGUAGAAUUUGUCUUUGAUUAGGUCCUUGUCUAUGUUCCUUGGAACAGGACGUCAUAGAGGGUGAGAAUCCCGUUUGGCGAGGAUACCUUUUCUCUGUAAGACUUUUUCGAAGAGUCGAGUUGUUUGGGAAUGCAGCUCAAAGUGGGUGGUAAAUUCCAUCUAAAGCUAAAUAUUGGCGAGAGACCGAUAGCGAACAAGUACAGUGAUGGAAAGAUGAAAAGAACUUUGAAAAGAGAGUGAAAAAGUACGUGAAAUUGUUGAAAGGGAAGGGCAUUUGAUCAGACAUGGUGUUUUUUGCAUGCACUCGCCUCUCGUGGGCUUGGGCCUCUCAAAAAUUUCACUGGGCCAACAUCAAUUCUGGCAGCAGGAUAAAUCAUUAAGAAUGUAGCUACUUCGGUAGUGUUAUAGCUUUUUGGAAUACUGUUAGCCGGGAUUGAGGACUGCGCUUCGGCAAGGAUGUUGGCAUAAUGGUUAAAUGCCGCCCGUCUUGAACCACCGGACACCAA